UCAGACGAUGCGUCAUGCAUAUCAAUAAGCGGAGGAAAAGAAACUAACAAGGAUUCCCUUAGUAACGGCGAGUGAAGCGGGAAGAGCUCAAAUUUGAAAUCUUAAAGGGUUUCCCUUUACGAAUUGUAGUUUAAAGAAGUGUUUUCUGUUAGAGUUUCGGUAAAAGUUCUUUGGAAUAGGACAUCAUAGAGGGUGAGAAUCCCGUAUUUGACCGUUAUUUCUAGCUUUGUGAUACACUUUCAAAGAGUCGGAUUGUUUGGGAAUGCAGCCCAAAAUGGGUGGUAAAUUUCAUCUAAAGCUAAAUAUUGGCGAGAGACCGAUAGCGAACAAGUACCGUGAGGGAAAGAUGAAAAGAACUUUGAAAAGAGAGUUAAACAGUACGUGAAAUUGUCAAAAGGGAAGCGUUUGACACCAGUGUUGUUUUCUCGAAAAUCAAUUAAAAAAGGCAGGAUUUUGUGUUGUAUUGACUUUAUCAGCUUUCUGCACUCUUUUCUUGUCUUUUUUUAAUGCACUUUUCGUUUAACAAGUCAACAUCAAUUUCUUUUGUUGUAAAAGGGUCAUUGGAAGGUGGCUUUCUUUUCGGAGAAAGUGUUUAUAGCCCUUUACCUCUGCAAUCGGAGAGAUUGAGGUCUGCAGCGUAGAUCCUUCGGGGUUAGAUACAUUUGUGCUAAGUUAUAGCCUUUCAUAGACAACUUGUUGACGAUGAUCAGUCAUGUAGCUUACUCGCUUAUGCUAUUUUACCUACGCUUAGGAUGUUGAUCUACAGAGCGAGAGU
RNAcentral lists this ribosomal RNA (775 nucleotides) under uncultured Neocallimastigales. Its description in RNAcentral is "partial large subunit ribosomal RNA". It matches the Rfam family "Eukaryotic large subunit ribosomal RNA", at positions 18 to 625 of the family's 3401-position model. The record is from RNAcentral. Lineage: Eukaryota; Fungi; Neocallimastigomycota; Neocallimastigomycetes; Neocallimastigales.